This 725-nucleotide ribosomal RNA is filed under the name uncultured bacterium. RNAcentral describes it as "bacterial SSU rRNA". It matches the Rfam family "Bacterial small subunit ribosomal RNA", at positions 775 to 1500 of the family's 1533-position model. The record is from RNAcentral.
GGAUUAGAUACCCUGGUAGUCCACGCCGUAAACGAUGUCGACUUGGAGGCUGUUCCCUUGAGGAGUGGCUUCCGGAGCUAACGCGUUAAGUCGACCGCCUGGGGAGUACGGCCGCAAGGUUAAAACUCAAAUGAAUUGACGGGGGCCCGCACAAGCGGUGGAGCAUGUGGUUUAAUUCGAUGCAACGCGAAGAACCUUACCUGGCCUUGACAUCCAGAGAACUUUCCAGAGAUGGAUUGGUGCCUUCGGGAACUCUGAGACAGGUGCUGCAUGGCUGUCGUCAGCUCGUGUUGUGAAAUGUUGGGUUAAGUCCCGCAACGAGCGCAACCCUUAUCCUUUGUUGCCAGCGAUUCGGUCGGGAACUCAAAGGAGACUGCCGGUGAUAAACCGGAGGAAGGUGGGGAUGACGUCAAGUCAUCAUGGCCCUUACGGCCAGGGCUACACACGUGCUACAAUGGCGCAUACAAAGAGAAGCGACCUCGCGAGAGCAAGCGGACCUCAUAAAGUGCGUCGUAGUCCGGAUCGGAGUCUGCAACUCGACUCCGUGAAGUCGGAAUCGCUAGUAAUCGUGGAUCAGAACGCCACGGUGAAUACGUUCCCGGGCCUUGUACACACCGCCCGUCACACCAUGGGAGUGGGUUGCAAAAGAAGUAGGUAGCUUAACCUUCGGGAGGGCGCUUACCACUUUGUGAUUCAUGACUGGGGUGAAGUCGUAACAAGGUAAC